RNAcentral lists this transfer RNA (72 nucleotides) under Loxodonta africana (African savanna elephant). It matches the Rfam family "tRNA". Rfam says of the family: Transfer RNA (tRNA) molecules are approximately 80 nucleotides in length. Their secondary structure includes four short double-helical elements and three loops (D, anti-codon, and T loops). Further hydrogen bonds mediate the characteristic L-shaped molecular structure. tRNAs have two regions of fundamental functional importance: the anti-codon, which is responsible for specific mRNA codon recognition, and the 3' end, to which the tRNAs corresponding amino acid is attached (by aminoacyl-tRNA synthetases). tRNAs cope with the degeneracy of the genetic code in two manners: having more than one tRNA (with a specific anti-codon) for a particular amino acid; and 'wobble' base-pairing, i.e. permitting non-standard base-pairing at the 3rd anti-codon position. The record is from Rfam by way of RNAcentral. Lineage: Eukaryota; Metazoa; Chordata; Mammalia; Proboscidea; Elephantidae.
GCCCUAGUGGUGCAAUGGUUAAGCACUUGGCUGCUAAUCGAAAGGCUGGUGGUUUGAAUCCACCCAGCCGCU